AGUAGUGGCGAGCGAACGCGGAAGAGGCCAAACCGGAGGUAGCAAUAUUUCCGGGGUUAGGACUGCAAUAUGUAACUUUAAUCUUUAACUGAAUGCUUUGGGAAGAGCAGCGAUACAGGGUGAUAGCCCCGUAAGUGAAAAGGAUUGAGUGCUGGCAGUAUCCAGAGUACCAGCGGACACGUGAAACCCGCUGGGAAGAUGGGGGGACCAUCCUCCAAGCCUAAAUACUACUCAGUGACCGAUAGUGGAGCAGUACCGUGAGGGAAAGGUGAAAAGUACCCCGGGAGGGGAGUGAAAAAGAACCUGAAACCUUGUGCCUACAAGCACCGAGAGUCCGUUAAAGGAUGAUCGGGUACUUUUUGUAGAACGGUCCGGCGAGUUAAUAUUUGCAGCGAGGUUAAGGAACUGGAGUUCCGGAGCCGCAGCGAGAGCGAGUCUGAAUAGGGCGUAUGAAGUUGCAGGUAUUAGACCCGAAACCGGGUGACCUAUCCAUGAGCAGGCUGAAGCGGUGGUAAGACACCGUGGAGGGCCGCACCCACGUCUGUUGAAAAAGCCGGGGAUGACUUGUGGAUAGCGGAGAAAUUCCAAUCGAACUCGGAGAUAGCUGGUUCUCCCCGAAAUAGCUUUAGGGCUAGCGUUAUUUUAGAUUACCGGAGGUAAAGCACUGAAUGGUCUAGGGGCCGCGAGGUUACCAAAGCCUAUCAAACUCUGAAUGCCGGAUAAUUGAUGAAUAGCAGUCAGACUGUGUGAGAUAAGUCUCAUAGUCAAAAGGGAAACAGCCCAGAUCUACAGCUAAGGUCCCAAAUGAACACUAAGUGGAAAAUGAUGUGAAACUGCGAAGACAACCAGGAUGUUGGCUUAGAAGCAGCCACUCAUUCAAAGAGUGCGUAAUAGCUCACUGGUCGAGUGGUUUUGCGCAGAAAAUGUAACGGGGCUAAGUGUUCAACCGAAGCUUAGGCAUUGUACUUUGUACAUUGGGUAGGGGAGCGUCGUAUGCGGGGCGAAGUCAGAGCGGAAGCACUGGUGGACUGCAUACGAGUGAGAAUGCCGGAAUAAGUAGCGAGAAUUAUGUGAGAAUCAUAAUGGCCGAAAAUCUAAGGUUUCUUGGGGAAGGUUCGUCCGCCCAAGGUUAGUCGGGAGCUAAGCUCAGGCCGAAAGGCGUAGGCGAUGCACAUACGGUAGAAAUUCCGUAACCACCGAACAUUUAAGCUAGAGGGACGCUUUCUUUAAGGUUAUCCCGGGCGAUGGUUGCCCCGGGCGUAAGGGACCGAAAUUUAGUAGGGAAGUAGACGGCGUGAGAGACGAGAAAAGCUCUAGUGUAUACUAAGGUGCCCGUACCGCAAACCGACACAGGUAGAUGGGAUGAGUAUUCUAAGGCCAACGGGAGAAGGGUUGUUAAGGAACUCGGCAAAUUGGCCCCGUAACUUCGGGAUAAGGGGCGCCUGCGAGAGCAGGCCGCAGUGAAAAGGCCCAAGCGACUGUUUAGCAAAAACACAGCUCUCUGCUAAAUCGAAAGAUGACGUAUAGGGGGUGACGCCUGCCCGGUGCUGGAAGGUUAAGGGGAGUGCUUAGCGCAAGCGAAGGUGCGAACUUAAGCCCCAGUAAACGGCGGCCGUAACUAUAACGGUCCUAAGGUAGCGAAAUUCCUUGUCAGGUAAGUUCUGACCCGCACGAAUGGCGUAACGAUUUGGGCACUGUCUCAACAGCCCGCCCGGCGAAAUUGUAGUACCGGUGAAGAUGCCGGUUUCCCGCAACUAGACGGAAAGACCCCAUGGAGCUUCACUGUAGCUUGAUAUUGGAUCUCGGUAUUCCAUGUACAGGAUAGGUGGGAGGCUAGGAAGUAAGCGCGCCAGCGUUUAUGGAGCCAACCUUGGGAUACCACUCUUGGGAUAUUGGGAUUCUAACCUGCGACCAUGAAUCUGGUCGGGGGACACUGUCAGGUGGGCAGUUUGACUGGGGCGGUCGCCUCCAAAAGAGUAAC
This 1981-nucleotide ribosomal RNA is filed under the name human gut metagenome. Its description in RNAcentral is "bacterial LSU rRNA". It matches the Rfam family "Bacterial large subunit ribosomal RNA", at positions 242 to 2301 of the family's 2925-position model. The record is from RNAcentral.